RNAcentral lists this ribosomal RNA (440 nucleotides) under uncultured bacterium. Its description in RNAcentral is "partial 16S ribosomal RNA". It matches the Rfam family "Bacterial small subunit ribosomal RNA", at positions 338 to 795 of the family's 1533-position model. The record is from RNAcentral.
CCUACGGGAGGCAGCAGUGGGGCAUAUUGCACAAUGGGGGAAACCCUGAUGCCGCGACGCCGCGUGAGUGAAGAAGUAUUUCGGUAUGUAAAGCUCUAUCCGCAGGGAAGAAAAUGACGGUACCUGAUUAAGAAGCCCCGGCUAACUACGUGCCAGCAGCCGCGGUAAUACGUAGGGGGCAAGAGUUAUCCGGAUGUACUGGGUGUAAAGGGAGCGUAGAAGGCAGCACAAGUCUGGAGGGAAAUGCCGGGGCUUAACCCCGGAACUGCUUUGGAAACUGUGCAGCUAGAGGGCAGGAGCGGUAAGUGGAAUUCCUAGUGUAGCGGUGAAAUGCGUAGAUAUUAGGAGGAACACCAGUGGCGAAGGCGGCUUACUGGACUGUAACUGACGUUGAGGCUCGAAAGCGUGGGGAGCAAACAGGAUUAGAUACCCGGGUAGUC